GCCAGAGCCGCGGCAGAGGCAGAGGAGGGAGCUAGGAGGUGAGACCCGCUCCACCCUGCUCGCCUAGGCUCGGCGGAGGCUAAGAGCAGGGCAGCCUCCUCUGCCCGGCGCCCGCUGAGCCCCGGCAUCUGGAACUCAGGGCCCUGGCGCUCCAGGGGCGGGAACUGGCCGGGAGGACCGCGCGGGAGAGCACGGAUGGGCACCCUGGGCUCGAUUGCAUUUGACCUACCUCAGGAUAUCCAAAGGAGAACAGAGGGAAGUGAGGGGUUGAGAACUGACACCCUACAACGCCAGCACCUCAGUGGAAAGGAGGAAUAGAGCCCAGGAGGGAUGUGGGGCUUCUCACCUGGGGCGGGUGGGUUCUGCACCACCCUCCCACCCUCCUUCCUCCGUGUGGACGAUAGAGCCACAUCCAGCACCACGGACAGCUCCCGGGCGAUCCCAUGGGAGUAGAAGAGGUGUGAGCAGGUUGCCCAGCUGGUUAGCGGAAAUGCCAAGAUCCAGGCUCCUGAAUUUCAGCCUGGCCCUUUCUAUCUGUCUGAUACCUCCUUUACGAGUCUCUCUGCCUGCGUUGUGUGGAGCGGGCCUGCUGCUGGUUGGGGGAGUUUGCAGGUUGCCCCUAUGCAAAAAAGGACAGGAUGCAUGACUGGCAUGUAAGGUGUUCAGGAAAACCAGGAAAAGCCUUCAUCUCCUCGUCCUCCAGGCAGCACAAGCCAUUGUGGAAUCUCCACCAGGUGUACAGAACGGUGCCUCUGCGUCCUGCCACUCAGGACCUCUCAAGUCCCCGAUGUGAUGGCUCCUCAGCAUGAUCAGGAGAAAUUCCAUGAUCUUGCUUAUUCCUGUCUUGGGAAGUCCUUCUCCAUGUCUAACCAAGAUCUAUAUGGCUAUAGCACCAGCUCUUUGGCUCUUGGCUUGGCAUGGCUAAGUUGGGAGACCAAAAAGAAGAAUGUACUUCAUCUGGUUGGGCUGGAUUCCCUCUGAUAAGCCUUCCCAGUUGACUGAAAGAUGAGGCUAGGCUCUAGCAAGUUGAAGUCAAACCAGCUCCUUCAAGAAGCUUUGAGCAGAAUGAAGUGGGGAGGACCCAGCUUCCAGCCCAGGAAGCCCACUGUACCUGGAGCCAUCUGGGAUAAGACUUUGACCCAUGACUCCCAUAUCCACAGCCUGUCCAUCCUAGCCCAUCCCAGUUUAUCCUGUAUCAUUUGAGCUGGGAUUCCCACAUCCUCUGAGUUGGAAGUCCCAUCUCAAGUCUUCAAUAAAGACUCUUGAAUAUUGAAUCACA
Molecule: long non-coding RNA, 1279 nt
Filed under: Homo sapiens (human)
Lineage: Eukaryota; Metazoa; Chordata; Mammalia; Primates; Hominidae
Description: MIR9-1 host gene, transcript variant 13 (MIR9-1HG)
Source: RNAcentral